AGAGUUUGAUCCUGGCUCAGAAUCAACGCUGGCGGCGUGCCUAACACAUGCAAGUCGCACGAGAAAGGGGAGCAAUCCCUGAGUAAAGUGGCGCACGGGUGAGUAACACGUGACUAAUCUACCCUCGAGUGGGGAAUAACUGAGAGAAAUCUUAGCUAAUACCGCAUAACACUUACGAGUCAAAGCAGCAAUGCGCUUGGGGAGGAGGUCGCGGCCGAUUAGCUAGUUGGCGGGGUAAUGGCCCACCAAGGCGAUAUCGGUAUCCGGCCUGAGAGGGCGCACGGACACACUGGAACUGAAACACGGUCCAGACUCCUACGGGAGGCAGCAGUGGGGAAUUUUGCGCAAUGGGGGGAACCCUGACGCAGCAACGCCGCGUGGAGGAUGAAGUAUCUUGGUACGUAAACUCCUUUCGAUGGGGAAGAUUAAGACGUACCCAUAGAAGA
Molecule: ribosomal RNA, 446 nt
Filed under: uncultured soil bacterium
Lineage: Bacteria
Description: bacterial SSU rRNA
Rfam family: Bacterial small subunit ribosomal RNA
Source: RNAcentral